GAGAUGAGGAAUGGAACCCAACAGAUCGAAUACCUCCUUCCUCGCUUUUCUUAAGUCUUGGUCAUAUCCGAUCAACUAGCUAGAUUCUCCAAUCUAGCAUUCAUAUUGCGACUAAUCUCACCAAGCAGAGCGUAGCCAUAAGUGGAUUUGCAUUUCUUGCCUCUAGUUUCUUUCACUUGUGCAGGUUGCUUGCUUCCAUAAACACUAUUUUUCCCCUUGUGUGGCUUCAAAUAUGUCAUCAAGGCUAACGUUAUAAUCAUCGGCCGAUGCAGAUUCUUCCAUGUACAUCUUGUUGCUCCAAUUUUAUUCAACACAUCGAGAAUGUCCUCUGCAUUAUCACACGUUGCCCACUCCGUUUCCAAAAAUCUCUUUCCAAUCCACAAAGUAAGGUCAAGGCUUUUACCGCAUUGAACAAGCAUUACUAUCGCUCUGUCAUGUCAACAAAAAGCAAAAUUCAACAUAUAUCGCAAAUUUAAAUCAUGGAAGCUAUCACAAAAUUAAUAUUAUGCAAAUAAUGCACCUUUCGUUAAUACUUUCUUGCAGAGCAUAAACAUAUAAAUUAAUUUGUAAAGAAAUUACUAAGGAUAAAAAUAAGUCAUGUUUUCUAUAGAAAUCACUAGUUAACAUUUUAAAACAUGUGAAGAUAAGUAAAAAUAAGCCAACCUCGUACGUGUAACUUCAAGUCCUUAUUCACUACAAGAAAGAAACAAUGGACUUCAUGACCAAACUAUAAUCAUCGAGGGAAAAAAUAUAGAAGAAAGAAAACAAUUUUAGAUAAAGACUCUUCUCACAAUAUUCAGAAGACAUUCAUUUAUAUAGCAGAGAAAAAUUAUGAAACAAAAGCUAUGAUCAGGUUCAGAGGGUCACAAAUCUCAUUUCAUUCAUGAACAUAGUUAGCACCACAAUGAGAAAGCUUUCAUCCAUUUUUAAAAAUUUCAUUGAAGGAUUUUCAGAGAUAUGGAUUAUUCCCCAACAACAAAAUUUCAACUUUACAUAUUUAUUAUCAUCAUAGUAGAUAAUCUUUAGUAUCAUUUCAGAUCAAGCAUGCCCGCAUUUUAUUAUAUGCAUGUGAAGGUUGUAGUGGAAAUGAAGGAUUUCAUAGAUAUAGACAUUAAUAUCCACAUGACUAUAUCAAACAAAGAAUCUGAUCGAGUUCCAUACCAAUAUAAAGUGUAGCUAAGGCACUGAGUAUCCGGCCACUAUAGAAAAUAAAAAAAAGGAUAAGAAACGUUUAAAAGACAUGUUCUCACAUUUAAAGCAGCCCACAAACAGAAAAUCAAAUUAUAACAAAUUUCAGAGUUAUCAUGUUACCUAAUUUCAUAUUUCUUCCAAUUCCAAGUAUGAUUUCUCCAAUUUUCAUGUCGAUGAGAUCAAUAUAAUUAGGCUCAUUUAUUGUAAAAAGACACGUAAUUUCUUGUAAUUCCCAAUUAUAUUGGAAUAAAAAUACGAUUAAAAUUAUAAUUUCAUGUGGGAGCAAUAUUGAUUAAGUCGAUGGAAUUACAAGAGAUGUCAAUGGGCGCAAUAUAAUUAUAUAAUUCCAAGAAAAACAAGAGGAUAAGAAACUAUGGCUCCCAAUUUUAAUGUUGAUGGGAGCAAUAAAAUUAUUGCUGAUAGAAGUAGAUUUUGACGUAGUAACAUAUGUUUGACGCCAUGUCCUAAAUUAUGUAAGAUUAAAUCGAUGCAUGCGGACUAACCUUCUUGGGUAGAUUCCAUUUCGGAUGAUGUUUGGUAGCGGUGAAGACGAAUUUGAUGAGGUUUCUCCAUAAACCUUCUACAUUUUCCGUAUACAAACAAGGGGUCGUCUGUUGGGCUGAGAUAGAAGAGAAAGCUCUUCGAAAAGGCAAUCCCACUGCUGCU
RNAcentral lists this long non-coding RNA (1857 nucleotides) under Salvia miltiorrhiza (redroot sage). RNAcentral's name for it is "long non-coding RNA (SMIL_LNC004889)". The record is from RNAcentral. Lineage: Eukaryota; Viridiplantae; Streptophyta; Magnoliopsida; Lamiales; Lamiaceae.